AUGACGUGUAGCAUGCCCGUUGUGGGAUUACUCUGAUGAUUACAUACUAUUUUAUUGCUUUUGGGUAACGGGGUGUUACAUAACA
Medicago truncatula (barrel medic) is the source of this 85-nucleotide microRNA precursor. It matches the Rfam family "MIR2617 microRNA precursor family". The record is from Rfam. Lineage: Eukaryota; Viridiplantae; Streptophyta; Magnoliopsida; Fabales; Fabaceae.